UGCUGAGGUCCGGGCUGUGCUCCGUACCGGACAGGGCCCUGGCUUUAGCAGA
This is a microRNA precursor of Gorilla gorilla gorilla (western lowland gorilla), 52 nucleotides long. The record is from Ensembl. Lineage: Eukaryota; Metazoa; Chordata; Mammalia; Primates; Hominidae.